ACCCCCUGGCAUUGGGCAAAGAGACACCUCAUGGGUGGUGGUGUUCUUGUAUCAGUCAGGGGCAGAGCAGAGGAGUCCUUUGUUCAUCCUAGCUUGAUGCCUGAGUUGGUGGCCUAAGCUGUUUCAUGCCUAGGGUACAUAA
This 142-nucleotide small nucleolar RNA is filed under the name Octodon degus (degu). RNAcentral's name for it is "Small nucleolar RNA SNORA48 (ENSODEG00000021521.1)". It matches the Rfam family "Small nucleolar RNA SNORA48". From Rfam's summary of the family: The snoRNA ACA 48 has been identified to guide pseudouridylation of the residue U3797 in the 28S rRNA subunit. Its host gene EIF4A1 (eukaryotic translation initiation factor 4A1) is shared with U67 and snoRNA mgU6-77 Lineage: Eukaryota; Metazoa; Chordata; Mammalia; Rodentia; Octodontidae. The record is from Rfam by way of RNAcentral.